UACGGAGGGGGCUAGCGUUGUUCGGAAUUACUGGGCGUAAAGCGCACGUAGGCGGCUUUGUAAGUUAGAGGUGAAAGCCCGGGGCUCAACCCCGGAAUUGCCUUUAAGACUGCAUCGCUUGAAUACGGGAGAGGUGAGUGGAAUUCCGAGUGUAGAGGUGAAAUUCGUAGAUAUUCGGAAGAACACCAGUGGCGAAGGCGGCUCACUGGACCGUUAUUGACGCUGAGGUGCGAAAGCGUGGGGAGCAAACAGG
RNAcentral lists this ribosomal RNA (253 nucleotides) under uncultured bacterium. RNAcentral describes it as "partial 16S ribosomal RNA". It matches the Rfam family "Bacterial small subunit ribosomal RNA", at positions 524 to 776 of the family's 1533-position model. The record is from RNAcentral.